CCUACGGGAGGCAGCAGUGGGGAAUUUUGGACAAUGGGGGCAACCCUGAUCCAGCCAUGCCGCGUGAGUGAAGAAGGCCUUCGGGUUGUAAAGCUCUUUCGGACGGAACGAAACGGGCGAGGCUAAUAACCUUGUCCACUGACGGUACCGUAAGAAGAAGCACCGGCUAACUACGUGCCAGCAGCCGCGGUAAUACGUAGGGUGCGAGCGUUAAUCGGAAUUACUGGGCGUAAAGCGUGCGCAGGCGGUUUUGUAAGCUGGAGGUGAAAUCCCCGGGCUUAACCUGGGAAUGGCCUUCAGGACUGCAAGGCUUGAGUACGGCAGAGGGAGGUGGAAUUCCACGUGUAGCAGUGAAAUGCGUAGAUAUGUGGAGGAACACCGAUGGCGAAGGCAGCCUCCUGGGCCAGUACUGACGCUCAUGCACGAAAGCGUGGGGAGCAAACAGGAUUAGAUACCCUGGUAGUCCACGCCCUAAACGAUGUCAACUAGGUGUUGGGGAAGGUGACUUCCUUAGUACCGCAGCUAACGCGUGAAGUUGACCGCCUGGGGAGUACGGCCGCAAGGUUAAAACUCAAAGAUAGAGGCGUGNGACGUGCGACGGACGACACAGGGAGUAGG
This 618-nucleotide ribosomal RNA is filed under the name uncultured bacterium. Its description in RNAcentral is "bacterial SSU rRNA". It matches the Rfam family "Bacterial small subunit ribosomal RNA", at positions 338 to 948 of the family's 1533-position model. The record is from RNAcentral.